UCUGUGUGGAAUGUUGUCUGGUUCUAGGCCUCUCUCUACAUGCAAGCAUGGAUGUAGUAGCAGCCUACUGCAAUUGCUUGCUGGGACCUCGGACCAGGCUUCAUUCCCCUCAGA
Molecule: microRNA precursor, 114 nt
Organism: Sorghum bicolor (sorghum)
Lineage: Eukaryota; Viridiplantae; Streptophyta; Magnoliopsida; Poales; Poaceae
Rfam family: mir-166 microRNA precursor family
About the family: This family represents the plant microRNA (miRNA) precursor mir-166. Animal miRNAs are transcribed as ~70nt precursors and subsequently processed by the Dicer enzyme to give a ~22nt product. In plants the precursor sequences may be longer, and the carpel factory (caf) enzyme appears to be involved in processing.
Source: Rfam